AGAGUUUGAUCAUGGCUCAGGAUGAACGCUGGCGGCGUGCCUAAUACAUGCAAGUCGAGCGAACCACUUCGGUGGUGAGCGGCGAACGGGUGAGUAACACGUAGGUGAUCUGCCCAUCAGACGGGGACAACGAUUGGAAACGAUCGCUAAUACCGGAUAGGACGAAAGUUUAAAGGUGCUCCUGGCACCGCUGAUGGAUGAGCCUGCGGCGCAUUAGCUAGUUGGUAGGGUAAAGGCCUACCAAGGCGACGAUGCGUAGCCGACCUGAGAGGGUGAACGGCCACACUGGGACUGAGACACGGCCCAGACUCCUACGGGAGGCAGCAGUAGGGAAUCUUCGGCAAUGGGCGAAAGCCUGACCGAGCAACGCCGCGUGAAUGAUGAAGGCCUUCGGGUUGUAAAAUUCUGUUAUAAGGGAAGAACGACUUUAGUAGGAAAUGGCUAAAGUGUGACGGUACCUUAUGAGAAAGCCACGGCUAACUACGUGCCAGCAGCCGCGGUAAU
Molecule: ribosomal RNA, 504 nt
Filed under: uncultured bacterium
Lineage: Bacteria
Description: bacterial SSU rRNA
Rfam family: Bacterial small subunit ribosomal RNA
Source: RNAcentral